Molossus molossus (Pallas's mastiff bat) is the source of this 806-nucleotide long non-coding RNA. RefSeq lists it as uncharacterized. NCBI's taxonomy places the organism in Eukaryota, Metazoa, Chordata, Mammalia, Chiroptera, Molossidae. The record is from RefSeq and is a predicted model, not a curated record. The transcript has 4 exons.
CCCUGAGGAGGCCUGCCCUCCCACGGUGGGGGUGGGGGUCUGGUCCCGCGGUGAGGUUUCCAUCCCCCUUCUGCUGGCUCUGCCUCGCCGCACCUGGCGACACCAUGAAAGCGUUUCUCCAGCGGACACCCACGUGCUGACAACUGCCCACCUAGUCCCAGCAGGCCUGCAAACAAGAGACUCGGCUGAAAGGGGGCCUGGGCCUCCCCCGAUGGCUCGGUGGAGGACGAGGAGCAAACAUUCCGUGAGCAUGUGCGGGGCCCCACACACGUGACCCGGGGCAGCCCGUCCCUCGUUCCUGCUGCCUUCCCCAUGAAUGGACAGGCACUGGGCAGUGCUGAGGGACGGGACGGGCUCGAACCCGUCAGCUGAGGCUGAGCAAACAAACAGCCCUAAGAGCAGUGAGCCAGGACACCCCAGCUGGCAAAUCCGAACAGUGCGAUACGAUGAGCAGCCCGAACGUGUCUCGAAACCAUGUGGUCACCCUGCAGGGAGCGGCAACCCUGAGUGACGCCCAGGUUUUCGUCGCGGUGGGAGGCACCGUCUGAGUGCGCGUCCUCGAACUGCGCGCCCACGAGUCCUGCUGCUGCCUACCAGUGAAACCUCCGAAAAGUCCCGGGGGAAAGAAAACAUCGUGCCUGUCCACCUGUGAGGAGUCACUCCACACCGUGGGACACACCGCAAACAAGCGAGACCACCUGCCCAGGGGAUCUUACCUUCGGAUGGCUGAGGAAUUCAAUUAGCAAUUUAGAAAACCCAGACAGCCCUGGCCGGUUUGGCUCAGCAGUUAGAGUGUCAGCCCUCAG